AGUGAACGCUGGCGGUAGGCCUAACACAUGCAAGUCGAACGGCAGCACAGUAAGAGCUUGCUCUUACGGGUGGCGAGUGGCGGACGGGUGAGGAAUACAUCGGAAUCUACUUUUUCGUGGGGGAUAACGUAGGGAAACUUACGCUAAUACCGCAUACGACCUACGGGUGAAAGCAGGGGAUCUUCGGACCUUGCGCGAUUGAAUGAGCCGAUGUCGGAUUAGCUAGUUGGCGGGGUAAAGGCCCACCAAGGCGACGAUCCGUAGCUGGUCUGAGAGGAUGAUCAGCCACACUGGAACAGAGACACGGUCCAGACUCCUACGGGAGGCAGCAGUGGGGAAUAUUGGACAAUGGACGAAAGCCUGAUCCAGCCAUACCGCGUAGGUGAAGAAGGCCUUCGGGUUGUAAAGCCAUUUUGUUGGGAAAGAAAAGCAGCAGGUUAAUACCCCGCUGUUCUGACGGUACCCAAAGAAUAAGCACCGGCUAACUUCGUG
RNAcentral lists this ribosomal RNA (492 nucleotides) under uncultured bacterium. RNAcentral's name for it is "partial 16S ribosomal RNA". It matches the Rfam family "Bacterial small subunit ribosomal RNA", at positions 29 to 507 of the family's 1533-position model. The record is from RNAcentral.